CCUACGGGAGGCAGCAGUGAGGAAUAUUGGUCAAUGGGCGGGAGCCUGAACCAGCCAAGUCGCGUGAGGGAAGACGGUCCUACGGAUUGUAAACCUCAUUUGCCGGGGAGCAACGGGGUCCUUGCGAGGGCCCGAUGAGAGUACCCGGAGAAAAAGCAUCGGCUAAUUCCGUGCCAGCAGACGCGGUAAUACGGAGGAUGCGAGCGUUAUCCGGAUUUAUUGGGUGGAAAGGGUGCGGAGGGGGGGCGGUAAGGCAGCGGUCAAAGGUCGGGGCUCAACCCCGGCCUGCCGUUGAAACUGUCGGCCUCGAGUGGGCGAGAAGUAUGCGGAAUGCGUGGUGUAGCGGUGAAAUGCAUAGAUAUCACGCAGAACUCCGAUUGCGAAGGCAGCAUACCGGCGCCCGACUGACGCUGAGGCACGAAAGCGUGGGUAUCGAACAGGAUUAGAUACCCGAGUAGUC
RNAcentral lists this ribosomal RNA (460 nucleotides) under uncultured bacterium. RNAcentral describes it as "partial 16S ribosomal RNA". It matches the Rfam family "Bacterial small subunit ribosomal RNA", at positions 338 to 795 of the family's 1533-position model. The record is from RNAcentral.